RNAcentral lists this long non-coding RNA (1366 nucleotides) under Phasianus colchicus (ring-necked pheasant). RNAcentral's name for it is "lncRNA (ENSPCLG00000009951.1)". The record is from RNAcentral. Lineage: Eukaryota; Metazoa; Chordata; Aves; Galliformes; Phasianidae.
AUGAGGCGGCUCGGUCCGUGCGGUUCCCAGCUCCCGCAGCGGGCCGAGGAGCCCUGCCAGGGUUUUCUGGUGGCUGCGGAUGCGUGCUGCCCUCGUCUCGGCCCCAAAUUGCAGCGGGUGGCUGCUGUGAGGCCCAGUUGCGUCCCCCAAACGCACCACAACGCGGCAACAUGGAUGGGAUUUGUGCAGAGGAAUUUAAAGAAACAAAGAGAAAUGGAAACAAGACAAAAUAGAUGCAGCGUUCAGCCCCAAACAGAUGGGAACCUGUCAGCACAACAUGGAGAUAAUUAUCCAUUCGAGCCAUGGGAAGCUUCAUGGCUGAGAGGAAGUUAUUGCAGCCAAUACAGCUCUGCUUUAUCAUCUUAGCAGGUUUUUUUUGGACAGAGCACGUUGGUGAGUUCCAUUAUUCCUUUGAAGAAACACCAAGAACAUCCUUGUUUCCAUAGGGGGUGCAUUGGUGAUGUAGGAAAUUGUUCUUCUGUGGGUGUUUGGGUGGCAUUUCAGGAAACGCUCCAUUAUGGCAGUGCAGUGCUGGGAGGUUCUUGUCCUCCCUCUGGAAAUGAGAAACAGAACCCAUUUGCUGGUAAAGAGAAGAGAAAGUGUUCUUCAGACCCAGGAGGAGGUGGUGAAUCUCAAAGUUCCACAUUACACCUCAGUCUGGAAGGUUACCUUGGUCACACCUAGCUCUGUUCUUCGCUUCUGAGCCAUCUCUGCUGCCACGUUAAAUUACUGCCUCGUGUCUCUGCUUCAUUAGUGCUGCUGUGCUCCGUGGCAGAGCCCAGUGCAGCUCCCCAGGCAGCAGGGAGAUGUGCUGCAGGCAUUGCUGAUACAGGAGCCUGGCAUCUUUCUGGGUGAAACACGCAGCAGAAAUAUAACAGCUGCGGUGGGAGUGAUUUUUGUGUGAGAUGGGUGUGAGAGAGGUCAGCAUCUUUAGUGAUGCUCUUCAUUACUGAAAACAACCCCUACCCAUGCACACGUGUUGAUCUCUGUUUAAUGUUGGUUCCCUUUUGUGGGGGUUUAGAAAGAGCUGAAUUCCCAGUGGGUUUUUUGGGGUGAUGGAAACAGCCACCUUCUGGGAUGGGCACACGAGUGAUGCUCGCUGUCACCUAAGCAAGUAAUACUUUUCCCCUUGAAAAGCAAAGUACUUACAAGGGUGGUUUUAUGUUAGUAUUACUGCUAGCAAAUCUACCAUUUGUGAGAAAGGAAAUUAUUCCCAUUCCUGCUUUCUAGAUAAGGAAACUCAAAUCACAGGCGUUUGAUACGAAGCAAGGACCUCAGGAGCCCUAAUAUUCCCAGCUGUAACCAGAGCUGAAUUCUGUGGCUCUUGCAAAGUGCAGCUCCAGAUCUGUGCAUCUAUUCAGGGUUU